AUACAUUUAAAAAAAAAAGAAUCUGUUCUUAUCAGUUUAAUAUCUGAUACGUCCCCCAGGGAGUCGGAAAUGGGGCUUGCUCCGUCCGCUCCACGCAUCGACCCGGUAUUGCAGUACCUCCGGGAACGGUGCAACACUU
RNAcentral lists this small nuclear RNA (139 nucleotides) under Salmo salar (Atlantic salmon). RNAcentral describes it as "U2 spliceosomal RNA (multiple genes)". It matches the Rfam family "U2 spliceosomal RNA". Rfam says of the family: U2 is a small nuclear RNA (snRNA) component of the spliceosome (involved in pre-mRNA splicing). Complementary binding between U2 snRNA (in an area lying towards the 5' end but 3' to hairpin I) and the branchpoint sequence (BPS) of the intron results the bulging out of an unpaired adenosine, on the BPS, which initiates a nucleophilic attack at the intronic 5' splice site, thus starting the first of two transesterification reactions that mediate splicing. Lineage: Eukaryota; Metazoa; Chordata; Actinopteri; Salmoniformes; Salmonidae. The record is from Rfam by way of RNAcentral.